CAGCUGGAUAUAGCGGAUGACAUUGGUGUCUGGAAAACAAAGACAGGAAAAGGCUUGAUUUAUUUCCUGCUCAGAAAGGAAAUGGUCUCCUCUAGCUCCUCUGUAGGUCUUUUUCACAGAAGACAACACACCUGCACCUGAGCCCUUUACCUGCCUCACCGAGCCCAAACUUGCUCCGGGGACGCCAACACUGCACCCUCAGAGCACUGGGUACCUUGGCUCUUGAAGUCCAGCGCCCGCCUCACGACGUCGGCUGGCUCGUUGUGGGAUGGUUGUUUCCACAUCGACCC
This is a long non-coding RNA of Lates calcarifer (barramundi perch), 290 nucleotides long. RefSeq lists it as uncharacterized. The record is from RefSeq and is a predicted model, not a curated record. The transcript has 3 exons. Lineage: Eukaryota; Metazoa; Chordata; Actinopteri; Centropomidae.